GACGAACGCUGGCGGCGUGCCUAAUACUUGCAAGUCGAGCGGAGCUUAUCCUUCGGGGUAAGCUUAGCGGCGGACGGGUGAGUAACACGUAGGCAACCUACCCUGUAGACUGGGAUAACUACCGGAAACGGUAGCUAAUACCGGAUAAUUCCUUUCUUCUCCUGAAGAAAGGAUGAAAGGCGGAGCAAUCUGCUACUAGAGGAUGGGCCUGCGGCGCAUUAGCUAGUUGGUGGGGUAACGGCCCACCAAGGCGACGAUGCGUAGCCGACCUGAGAGGGUGAACGGCCACACUGGGACUGAGACACGGCCCAGACUCCUACGGGAGGCAGCAGUAGGGAAUCUUCCGCAAUGGGCGAAAGCCUGACGGAGCAACGCCGCGUGAGUGAUGAAGGUUUUCGGAUCGUAAAGCUCUGUUGCCAGGGAAGAGCGUCCGGUAGAGUAACUGCUACCGGAGUGACGGUACCUGAGAAGAAAGCCCCGGCUAACUACGUGCCAGCCGCCGCGGUAA
This 508-nucleotide ribosomal RNA is filed under the name uncultured bacterium. RNAcentral describes it as "partial 16S ribosomal RNA". It matches the Rfam family "Bacterial small subunit ribosomal RNA", at positions 28 to 523 of the family's 1533-position model. The record is from RNAcentral.